Molecule: non-coding RNA, 675 nt
Organism: Nylanderia fulva
Lineage: Eukaryota; Metazoa; Arthropoda; Insecta; Hymenoptera; Formicidae
Source: RefSeq, a predicted model, not a curated record
UUUGCUGAGAUUAUAUUAUAUUUUUAUAUUAUAUUAUUAUAUACAGUUUGUACCAGAGCUGAAUAAGUGCAAUACUUGGGAGGAAAAGUUAGAAGUAUUUUCUCACUUUUUAAAGGAUAUCACUGCAUUAACUGUUGAAAAUCGGAAUAUUUUAUGUUCAACAGUUUACGAUUAUAUAGUCGCUGUAAAAGUUUAUAAUAUAUCUUCGUUGCCGCGCUUAAAAUCAUCUAUAAUACUAUUAAAACCUACAUUUACGUUCUUUACUUUUUUCGAAGAGGAUUAUGGUCUACAUAAGGUUACCGAAAGUAAAGUACUAAUUUAUUAUGUGGAAGGUACUCAUAUUACAAUAAUAGACAAUGACAAAAUUGCAUCAUUUAUUAACGAAGCAUUGAAUUAAGCAUUUAUAAUAAUCAUUACAAAAUAAUUAUAUUAACUAAUUACAACAAAAUCUUUAACACACAAUAAAAUGAAAUACUUCAAGUAUAUGAAAACAUUACAUGCGAAUUUGCUUGUGUAAAAAUUUUUUUAGCAUAGGUUUUUUCAAGAAGACACUUUACACACAUAAAAUAACGAUUAAAAAAUAGAUGACACAUAUACAAAAUCAAAGUUUGAAAAUUAAGUUUAUUUGCCUACAUGUGUAUUUUACAAUAUGAAAUAAAUAAUUUUCCACAUAAA